Molecule: ribosomal RNA, 424 nt
Filed under: Fusobacteriota bacterium
Lineage: Bacteria; Fusobacteriati; Fusobacteriota
Description: Fusobacteria bacterium partial 16S ribosomal RNA
Rfam family: Bacterial small subunit ribosomal RNA
Source: RNAcentral
UGAGGAAUAUUGGUCAAUGGGCGAGAGCCUGAACCAGCCAAGUAGCGUGCAGGAUGACGGCCCUAUGGGUUGUAAACUGCUUUUAUGUGGGGAUAAAGUGCGUGACGUGUCAUGCAUUGCAGGUACCACAUGAAUAAGGACCGGCUAAUUCCGUGCCAGCAGCCGCGGUAAUACGGAAGGUCCGGGCGUUAUCCGGAUUUAUUGGGUUUAAAGGGAGCGUAGGCUGUCUAUUAAGCGUGUUGUGAAAUUUACCGGCUCAACCGGUGGCUUGCAGCGCGAACUGGUCGACUUGAGUAUGCAGGAAGUAGGCGGUAUUCAUGGUGUAGCGGUGAAAUGCUUAGAUAUCAUGACGAACUCCGAUUGCGCAGGCAGCUUACUGUAGCAUAACUGACGCUGAUGCUCUAAAGUGCGGGUAUCAAACAGG